Molecule: long non-coding RNA, 380 nt
Organism: Rhincodon typus (whale shark)
Lineage: Eukaryota; Metazoa; Chordata; Chondrichthyes; Orectolobiformes; Rhincodontidae
Exons: 3
Source: RefSeq, a predicted model, not a curated record
AGAUCUUUUCUCAUAUCAAAUAUCAGUCUGAACGCUGAACCCUCAACAGUGGUGAUGCUUAAAAGGCUGACAUUAGCUUAUCCUGACUGCAGUUACCAGGCCCAGGAAAUCCAGCAGGCAGAAGGAGCUGAAAAGGCUGCGAGAUGUUUGGAAUUUUUUAAAAGGAACUCUGAGAAUGCACUGUUUUCUUCAUGGACAUCAUUCUGGGAAUCUCUCUAGAUAGAGGAGGAAGCAGCACAAAGAGUUACAAUGAGAUUAAGCUGAUCUCACACCUCUCUCUCAGUCAUCAUAGAGUCAUACAGCAUGGAAACAAAACCUUUGGUCCAACCAGUCCAUAUCGACCAUUAUCCCAAACUAAACCAGGCCCAUCUGCAUGCGUU